AUGGCGUCAUCCAACAGUUCAAUUCACAUGCUUCGUUGGCAGGAAGAAGAAAGUGAAGAUUUCGGUGAACUGGAAGAUCAUGACGGCGCUACGCCGAUUCGUCCCUUUGGUAAGGGUAACACACCAAAGCCAAAAAGGCUUAGGAUGCAUAAUCACGUCGAGCCUAUUAACCUGCCUAUUAGUAGUAGAUAUCCCGUUACGAAAGACGAUAGGAAAGAAGGUUUGGGGGACGGUUGGGGUACUAGCAACGAUCAAAUUCUGCAGGCAACCAAGGAGAGCAACAAGCUGAUGCAAACUCUCAUACAAAAGAUCAAUCAGUUGGAACAUAUGGUUGUGAAGCACAUGCAAACAUGCGAGAAGAAGACGGAAAUGCCUUGA
Molecule: ribosomal RNA, 378 nt
Filed under: Triticum aestivum (bread wheat)
Lineage: Eukaryota; Viridiplantae; Streptophyta; Magnoliopsida; Poales; Poaceae
Description: partial small subunit ribosomal RNA
Source: RNAcentral